AGAGUUUGAUCCUGGCUCAGGAUGAACGCUGGCGGCGUGCUUAACACAUGCAAGUCGAACGAAGCGCGCGGAAGGAAGGCCUUCGGGCCGGAGAGCCGCGGGACUGAGUGGCGGACGGGUGAGUAACGCGUGGGCAACCUGCCCCGUACAGGGGGAUAACAGCCGGAAACGGCUGCUAAUACCGCAUAAGCGCACAGCGCCGCAUGGCGCGGUGUGAAAAGCUCCGGCGGUACGGGAGGGGCCCGCGUCUGAUUAGGCAGUUGGCGGGGCAGCGGCCCACCAAACCGACGAUCAGUAGCCGGCCUGAGAGGGCGGCCGGCCACAUUGGGACUGAGACACGGCCCAAACUCCUGCGGGAGGCAGCAGUGGGGAAUAUUGCACAAUGGGGGAAACCCUGAUGCAGCGACGCCGCGUGAGUGAAGAAGUAAUUCGUUAUGUAAAGCUCUAUCAGCAGGAAAAAAAAUGACGGCACCUGAUUAAGAAGCCCCCGGCUAACUUACGUGCCCCCAGCCGCGGUAAUACGUAGGGGGCAAGCGUUAUCCUGAUU
RNAcentral lists this ribosomal RNA (547 nucleotides) under uncultured bacterium. RNAcentral's name for it is "bacterial SSU rRNA". It matches the Rfam family "Bacterial small subunit ribosomal RNA", at positions 8 to 551 of the family's 1533-position model. The record is from RNAcentral.